GCCGAUGUAGCUCAGUUGGUCAGAGCAGCUGAUUUGUAAUCAGCCGGUCGGGGGUUCGAGUCCCUUCAUCGGCU
RNAcentral lists this transfer RNA (74 nucleotides) under Bacteroides sp. SM23_62_1. RNAcentral describes it as "tRNA-Thr". It matches the Rfam family "tRNA". From Rfam's summary of the family: Transfer RNA (tRNA) molecules are approximately 80 nucleotides in length. Their secondary structure includes four short double-helical elements and three loops (D, anti-codon, and T loops). RNAcentral also lists the same sequence under 1 other name. The record is from RNAcentral. Lineage: Bacteria; Pseudomonadati; Bacteroidota; Bacteroidia; Bacteroidales; Bacteroidaceae.